GAGCGAGAGUGUAGGUGUUUCCGGCCAAUUCAUCCUAAUUCUCUCCGGCGACAGAUGAUAACUAACCGAGCCAAGCGUGACCUCGCAACUCGCUUUGACUGCUAUUUACAUACGGGGAGAACAAGGCGGCCAGAACGUGAAAGGACCGGGGUACAAAAAGUAGUCACAGGGCAUUCUGGAAAACGGCCGGCAGAUAUACAUCAAACUCAAUAGAUGUGAUUCACAUUAAAAACAAUCAUAAGGUACAUUCAAACACUAAAUAUAAACACAUUUUUUGAUGGGUAUUUAACUUAUGCAGUUUUCAUGCUGUUUUAAUUCCAUUAGCUUCGUCCUUUUUGGAGAGAGAUAUUUUCCUGUGCAGAUCUCAUUGUUUCAAAGCUGAAGUGGUAUUAAAGUUGGCGAGGGGGCUGACACAAUCAUUCAGCAAUAUGGUAUCAUCCAAAUCCUACUUCAAAUAGAGAUCUUACUCAGCAAAGGUCAUCAGGUUGGGCUGCGCUAUGUUGGAAUGAACAGCUCAUUCGCUUUCUUUAUGAUAAUCAGGUCCCAAUUGCAUGGGCAGGUAUUCAAAGCUUUCUCAUGGAGUCUUCUACUUCUAAUUUUUGGACACUGAUUGGUACUCGAAUCACUAUCUUUUUUUGAGGUCCAUGCCUCCAAGCUUCAAGUUUACAUCUCUCGUUUUUGGAAGUUAAGAGACUAAGUUCUGAUCAUUCAAUCUUAUCGGAAUCGAUUCUUGCUCCUGUUUAAUGGCACGCAUGAUCUCCAGUUCAUUCUCAAGGAUGGUCCUUGGGUCCUUAAUGGUUGUUUAAUUCUGGUUCAGCGUUGGCAACUUUUUAUUUGAUUCCAGGAGGUUUGUUUUCAUCUAGUUCCCUUAUGGGUCCGAAUGUAUGGAUUGCCAAUUCAAUUUUACGCCGAGUCAUUUGCUUCUUUAAUUGGCAACCCUAUGGGUACUUUUCUCUGUUUUGAUGAUUCUAGCUUCCGGGGAUCAUUUGGAGUGAGAUUUCAAGUUCUCAUGGAUGUUUCUCAGCUUUUAAAGUUGUAAGGCGUUCUAACUUUUUCUGAUGGGCAUGCGUUCGACUUCUCCAUCUUCUACGAACGUCUUAACAGGAUCUGUUUCAACUGGCAUCAAAUCGGACAUGUUCAUCAGCAGUGUUCUAGUUCUUUUUCUAAGUUCUAUUUCAACUUCGCAAAAUCUUGGUUCCUUAAGCAUUUGCAUGAAGAUUCUGUCCGUGUGAAAUUUGAUUGGUCAUCUUAUUCCUAUGAGGUCUCUGAUUGGCGAACCUUAUUGUUCAGGAAUCCACAUGGGUCACUAUUUGUUUCUUCAAAUUUGGAACAUUCUUCAUGUUCGACAAAACCUGGUUCUUGGAUCUUGCAUGUAGAAGAUCAUUGUUCUAAGUUCAAUUCAGAAGGGACAGCUGUCGAGAUGCAUGAAGACCUUCCACAUCUUCGCUGUCACAAACGCAGACCCUCAGAUUUAUCCAACGGUUUGGAUUUGGCUAAUGCCCGUGGUUGAACGUACAUACUAUGACGUCACGCAUGUCUAUGAUUUUGAUGGAGGACCGAACUUCUCGCAUUUCAGGGAGAAUGGAUUUGUCACUUGUCCUGUUCACUGUGCACAUGCGGCUACGUCCGGUUCUGCUCUGCCAGCUGCAACUUAUCAUUUGCCUGAUAUCGAUUGUGUUAACGCAAAUCUAGCACUCUCUGGGUCAUCUUCACGCAAACAAAAACAAAAAAAAAAAAAAAUCCUUCAUUGGCUGUAAAAACACCGUCUCGAUGGAUGAUUCUCCUGGGGACCUUCAUGGGUAGCGGUAUCAUGAGGGUCCAACGUUUAGCGCUGCAUUUUUUAAUACUUUUGUUUGGCCUGUUUGUAAGUUUGUCGAGUCUGUGUUUUGUUUUUUUCUAGCUUGUAAUGAGGAUUGCUUGGUCAAAUGUUCCUACAAAAACAUGUUUUUAA
Prosopis cineraria is the source of this 1951-nucleotide long non-coding RNA. RefSeq lists it as uncharacterized. The record is from RefSeq and is a predicted model, not a curated record. The transcript has 4 exons. Lineage: Eukaryota; Viridiplantae; Streptophyta; Magnoliopsida; Fabales; Fabaceae.